This 515-nucleotide ribosomal RNA is filed under the name uncultured bacterium. RNAcentral's name for it is "partial 16S ribosomal RNA". It matches the Rfam family "Bacterial small subunit ribosomal RNA", at positions 28 to 523 of the family's 1533-position model. The record is from RNAcentral.
GAUGAACGCUGGCGGCGUGCCUAAUACAUGCAAGUCGAGCGAAUGGAUUAAGAGCUUGCUCUUAUGAAGUUAGCGGCGGACGGGUGAGUAACACGUGGGUAACCUGCCCAUAAGACUGGGAUAACUCCGGGAAACCGGGGCUAAUACCGGAUAACAUCUUGAACCGCAUGGUUCGAAAUUGAAAGGCGGCUUCGGCUGUCACUUAUGGAUGGACCCGCGUCGCAUUAGCUAGUUGGUGAGGUAACGGCUAACCAAGGCAACGAUGCGUAGCCGACCUGAGAGGGUGAUCGGCCACACUGGGACUGAGACACGGCCCAGACUCCUACGGGAGGCAGCAGUAGGGAAUCUUCCGCAAUGGACGAAAGUCUGACGGAGCAACGCCGCGUGAGUGACGAAGGCUUUCGGGUCGUAAAACUCUGUUGUUAGGGAAGAACAAGUGCUAGUUGAAUAAGCUGGCACCUUGACGGUACCUAACCAGAAAGCCACGGCUAACUACGUGCCAGCAGCCGCGGUAA